RNAcentral lists this ribosomal RNA (375 nucleotides) under uncultured Acidovorax sp. RNAcentral's name for it is "bacterial SSU rRNA". It matches the Rfam family "Bacterial small subunit ribosomal RNA", at positions 1004 to 1382 of the family's 1533-position model. Lineage: Bacteria; Pseudomonadati; Pseudomonadota; Betaproteobacteria; Burkholderiales; Comamonadaceae. The record is from RNAcentral.
AGAUAGAGGAGUGCUCGAAAGAGAGCGUACACAGGUGCUGCAUGGCUGUCGUCAGCUCGUGUCGUGAGAUGUUGGUUAAGUCCCGCAACGAGCGCAACCCUUGUCAUUAGUUGCUACAUUUAGUUGGGCACUCUAAUGAGACUGCCGGUGACAAACCGGAGGAAGGUGGGGAUGACGUCAAGUCCUCAUGGCCCUUAUAGGUGGGGCUACACACGUCAUACAAUGGCUGGUACAGAGGGUUGCCAACCCGCGAGGGGGAGCCAAUCCCAUAAAGCCAGUCGUAGUCCGGAUCGCAGUCUGCAACUCGACUGCGUGAAGUCGGAAUCGCUAGUAAUCGCGGAUCAGAAUGUCGCGGUGAAUACGUUCCCGGGUCUU